Molecule: ribosomal RNA, 239 nt
Filed under: uncultured bacterium
Lineage: Bacteria
Description: partial 16S ribosomal RNA
Rfam family: Bacterial small subunit ribosomal RNA
Source: RNAcentral
GAUCAUGGCUCAGGAUGAACGCUAGCGACAGGCUUAACACAUGCAAGUCGAGGGGCAUCAUGAGGUAGCAAUACCUUGAUGGCGACCGGCGCACGGGUGAGUAACGCGUAUGCAACCUGCCUGAUACCGGGGUAUAGCCCAUGGAAACGUGGAUUAACACCCCAUAGUACUUUUAUCCUGCCUGGGAUGGGAGUUAAAUGUUCAAGGUAUCGGAUGGGCAUGCGUCCUAUUAGUUUAGG